This 527-nucleotide ribosomal RNA is filed under the name Aureobasidium proteae. RNAcentral describes it as "partial 26S ribosomal RNA". Lineage: Eukaryota; Fungi; Ascomycota; Dothideomycetes; Dothideales; Saccotheciaceae. The record is from RNAcentral.
GCCAGCAUCCUAGCCGAAGCGCGGACCUCAGUCCCGGCUGGCCGUAUUACACCCUGGGCUAUAACACCUCCACCGAAGUGGAGGCCACAUUCCCAGAGCCUUUAUCCGGCCGCCGAAACUGAUGCUGGCCUGUCCAAACUGAGUAAACCGGUCAGAAGACCGGCCGAACAGUUUAAACAAGUCUGAUUGCAAGCGCUUCCCUUUCAACAAUUUCACGUGCUUUUUAACUCUCUUUCCAAAGUGCUUUUCAUCUUUCGAUCACUCUACUUGUGCGCUAUCGGUCUCUCGCCAAUAUUUAGCUUUAGAAGAAAUUUACCUCCCAUUUAGAGCUGCAUUCCCAAACAACUCGACUCGUCGAAGGAGAUUUACAUAGGGUGCCAUUUCCUGUCACAUACGGGAUUCUCACCCUCUAUGACGUCCUGUUCCAAGGAACUUAGACAGGCGGCUUCCCCAAAUCAUCCUCUACAAAUUACAAUGCGAACCCGAAGGCUAGCUUUCAAAUUUGAGCUGUUGCCGCUUCACUCGCC